Vollenhovia emeryi is the source of this 3656-nucleotide long non-coding RNA. RefSeq lists it as uncharacterized. The record is from RefSeq and is a predicted model, not a curated record. The transcript is spliced from 3 exons. Lineage: Eukaryota; Metazoa; Arthropoda; Insecta; Hymenoptera; Formicidae.
UUAUUUAUUAUUUAUGUAUUAUUAAGAGUGUAUAUCAUUAUAUUAUGUAAUCAUUUAAUCUAAUUUAUACUUUAAACAUUAGUAAGCGCUGAUGAAAGCACAGUGUGCUGAAACGCGUCCGCGAAAUUGAGUCAAUGUAACACAUACUACUUAUUAAAAUAAUUUUAUAAUUGUUCAACCGAAAAAGCUUGUUAACCUUGGCCGUAAAAACUUAUUGUCAGUAUUUUGUAAUAAAACACAAGCGCUAUACCUUUAUAUUUAUGAUUAUCAUAAAUACUUUUGGAACUACUUCUUAGCCAGUAAAACGAUCUGUAUAGCAUCCAUACGGAUCAUUGUUUUGGCUAAACAGUUCUUGGACAUGUACUUGAGAUGACUAUUAAUAUAAGAGUAGACUCUGAACAAGCCUCGGUGUGCACGCAGUGCGCACUGGUGCAAGCUGCCGAAUUCGCUGUUAGACAUCUGCGUGGGUCAUUUGAAAAAUUGUCGGAAUAAAAUUGCAGACGGUCAUAUCGUCAUGGACAGACGUCAUACGUUAAGUGGAAAAUUUAACCCUCCUAUCACGUAUAAAGUUCGUUCCAUCAACUAGAUUUAUUUAUGUAGAAAGGGAAGAGUGCCAAUGUGAGCCACAAAUGAACGGAAAACGGUCCUCACAAUUUAGAAACAAAAUUUCUCUUUAAUAUAAACGUUUCGACCCCACUUCGGGUCUUCCUCAGUAUAACUCGUUUAAUUCGACUAAAGCGUAGCUUAAGGGACCAGAGUGAUAUGUGAUUUGAGAAUCAUUCCUCUAUCAGCGAUAAUCCCGGUGUAUCUCUAAAUGGUCCCAGACAUAAAGAGGACUGGAUGAAUCCGUUACAAAGGUAUUAACACGACUGUCUGAUUUAUUUAUUUUUUAAUAGAUCUUCGAACGAACUUGUCUGCGUGAUUUUUUAAACAAGAAUGAACUCGAUAUGCCGCUGUGAAUUAAGUAUCCACGAAUUAAAACGCGAUUUGUUGUCAAAGCCUCGCCUAGCCCUGUUGGACUUUCUCUUGUUUCUACGGUUGAAGGCAUAGUAUAACUAGUAGGCCCACUCUCUGUCGGCCCUUUGAUCUUUUCGGUCCCGAUCACGUGGUAUUCCACCAUGUCUUUGGUCCAGAUCCAACGGCGCAUGUGUGUGUACGUACUGUAGUUGCACGCGGUAGUGUAGCUUUGAUACAACUUUUCUCUCAUUGCUGGACCAACAAAAUGUCGGAUGCGCAGAAGGUUUCGACGUAAAACGAAACAAAUGACGGAGUGGACCUACUAGUUAUACUUGAAGAACCUCCUUGUUGGGAAGAGAUUUUCAAUUCUUUUGCAUCACUCGACAAAUCGUGGUCCCGUAAUGGAAUAAUGAUCUUGGAGCUCAAGUCGAUAUAAACGGAGAGAUUGUGUUGAAGGAUAAAUAGAUAAAAUUAUAAACAGAUAAAAAUAAAAAGAGAGCUGUUUUCCAUUUCGAGAACUCUCGCAAUGGCCCUCGUAUGUUGAAAGGUGUCGAAUGAGAUGGUAAGUAACGACUUCGAGAGGCUCUCUAAAGAGGUCGUUACAAUUUGAUGUAGCGGGAGAAAUUGAUGAAACGGACGAAAUUGUUAUUCCGUAGCAAUAUACGAAAUUACGCGGCAGAUAAUGUAAUGACGACAAUGCGGCCAAUUAGACAGAGAUCCAAAUUAGACGAAGUCAUCGUUAAAUUUGCCAGCGAUAUCGGACAUCAAUUGGCCGGGUAAUCGAUCGUCACGUGGCGAAUCGAGCGGUGUUACUUGAUCUAAUUACAACGCGAGUUCGCUUACACGUGGCGGGCGGCAUAUCGAAUAAGACUGUCAUGCAAAAAUGAAACCGCGAUAAGAGAACGUUCUUGACCGAAAGUAGAAGCUAAUGCGUUCCUUUUUUUCUUUCUGUAAGGCUGGAGCGUCGGGCAAAUGGAUAUUCCGCAUACCAUGCGAGUGACGUUUUGCAUUUUAUCGCGAGGUAUUUUCUCCCUAUCUCAUAAAGUUGAUUUUGUAGUGUACGAAUAAAUAUAAAUGCCAUUAUAACCGAAGCACGCGAGCGAAAAUCAUCAGCGUAACGCUUACGUUUAUCUAACACGCUCGCUUUAACAAAUAGCAUGUAUUUCUUUUCAUUCUAUAUAUUUCUUACGUCAUGUAGAAGCGAAUAACUUGACGUUAAACAAAUGCAGUACCCUCGAAUUUUCAAAUUCCCUGCGCGUUUCCCGAAGCACUCGGUUGAAUAAAAGCGAAAAUAAUUCAUUAAAUUCGUCUAAUCAAUAAUGAAAACUAUCGAAUGCAAAAUAUGCAAUUUAUCGCAAAUUAGAACGACGUAUAAAUCAUGUAUGAAGUAUGAGAAUAAAAUCCACGUGUGCAUUUGCUAAAUAAUCAAUUUCAUUUCCACUGGCCAACUUGCAUAACUUGACGAAUACUAAGAAAAGAUAUUAUACAUAAUUCUUUAAAUAAUAAAUAGCAAGUAUUCCUUUUCGUUCUGCGUAUUCUUUAGGUCUUGUAGACGCGAAUAUCUUAAGACUGAACAAAUACGCCGCAACAUUCUUGAAUUUUCAAAUUCUACGUGCGUCUCUCGAAGCAUUCGGUUAGAUAAGAGCGAAAAUACUUCAUUAAACUAAUCUAAUCAACGAAAAAUGCCGAAUGUAAAAUAUGCAGCAAUUUGUCUCAAAUUGGGACGUUUAUAAAGUAUGAGAAUAAAAUCUACAUGUGCAUUUACGAAAUAAUGAAUUUAUUUUCCAACUAUCCGCUUUCGUAACUCGACGAUACUAAUGAAAGAUAUUAUCAAAGAAAAUUCUAAAAUAUCAUAAUGUUAAAACCAUCGUGCCUGCUAUGAUAUGUAAAGAUAAUUCUUUAUAUACGCUAACAUUUCCCGAAAAGAUUGUAGUUGCAACAGAAACAAAAUGAUUUGAAUAAAUUUACAUUAUUGUCUUUUCGAGCGUACUGCACUGGAAAAUUAUUGUAAUUGGGAAUGUCCAAAUAUAGCUAUAGCAACACUUUCCGCGAUACCAUCGAAUUAUACAUUCCGUACGCAUCAAUCUCCAUGUAUUUGUAUUUUCCGACUCUUCCUCCCUACACAAUAUGCCGUAUAAUAUCGCUAACUUGACAUUGCAGCUAUCACUGUGCCAUGCUUAGGAAGCCCCAUACUUGAUGGUGAUUAAAAGUCAGUACCGAUAGCCGCGGCCGAGUCGGAAAGCGUCGCCCCGAUUAGAUACGGUCCUGGCUCGUACGAUGUCGCGAAGAGGGAUUGGCGGGGCCACGGAGGCCGGAGAGGGCCGCGGAGUUUCGGGAGAAAAACCGGCGGCGCGGCAGUGUGCCCCAGAUAUAAUCUUCACCUGUGGAACAAAUUUAAAUAUUGGUACAUUUUGCGACAAAGUCAGACUUGUCUGCAUCACAAUUGCAAUUAUCCAAUAUAAAGGGAAUAGCUCGAUCGCGCUUUUGUAGCGAGUAAACAAACCGCAAAAGCAGAAUGGCAAAUGAGGAUGGGCGUUACAAAGUAUACAUCUACGAGGACGUGAUUGUACGAGUUGUGUUCCGUGCUCGUGGAAUCCGCUACAUACGCUGUAACAAGGAAAUGGCGAAUUAACGAACAGAUUAAUCUAAUACAGCGAGCUACGAGAGCGAUGCUUGACAUUGUAUAAGUGCAACGGCGC